RNAcentral lists this ribosomal RNA (792 nucleotides) under uncultured bacterium. RNAcentral's name for it is "bacterial SSU rRNA". It matches the Rfam family "Bacterial small subunit ribosomal RNA", at positions 8 to 796 of the family's 1533-position model. The record is from RNAcentral.
AGAGUUUGAUCCUGGCUCAGGAUGAACGCUAGCGGCAGGCUUAAUACAUGCAAGUCGUGGGGCAGCGCGGGUAGCAAUACCUGGCGGCGACCGGCAAACGGGUGCGGAACACGUACGCAACCUUCCUUUAAGUGAGGAAUAGCCCAGGGAAACUUGGAUUAAUACCUCGUAACACUAUGAGAUGGCAUCAUCUUAUAAUUAUAGCUACGGCGCUUAAAGAUGGGCGUGCGGCUGAUUAGGUAGUUGGCGGGGUAACGGCCCACCAAGCCUACGAUCAGUAACUGGUGUGAGAGCACGACCAGUCACACGGGCACUGAGACACGGGCCCGACUCCUACGGGAGGCAGCAGUAAGGAAUAUUGGUCAAUGGACGCAAGUCUGAACCAGCCAUGCCGCGUGGAGGAUGAAGGUCCUCUGGAUUGUAAACUUCUUUUAUCUGGAAAGAAACCCAUCUUUUCUAAGGUGGUUGACGGUACCAGAUGAAUAAGCACCGGCUAACUCCGUGCCAGCAGCCGCGGUAAUACGGAGGGUGCAAGCGUUAUCCGGAUUCACUGGGUUUAAAGGGUGCGUAGGUGGGCAGGUAAGUCAGUGGUGAAAUCUCUGGGCUUAACCCAGAAACUGCCGUUGAUACUAUCUGUCUUGAAUAUAGUGGAGGUGAGCGGAAUAUGUCAUGUAGCGGUGAAAUGCUUAGAUAUGACAUAGAACACCCAUUGCGAAGGCAGCUCCUACACUAUUAUUGACACUGAGGCACGAAAGCGUGGGGAUCAAACAGGAUUAGAUACCCUAGUAGUCC